Non-coding RNA from Pseudonaja textilis, 401 nucleotides. NCBI's taxonomy places the organism in Eukaryota, Metazoa, Chordata, Lepidosauria, Squamata, Elapidae. The record is from RefSeq and is a predicted model, not a curated record.
GAAACAAAUGAGGCAGCUUAGAAACAAGAGGAUGAUCAGAGCAACCCCAGUUCUACAGUAUCAUAGAAUAAGAACAGCCCAGAAGAAAGGCAAUAACAGGAAGGAAGGAAGGAAGGAAGGAAGGAAGGAAGGAAGGAAGGAAGGAAGGAAGGAAGGAAGGACCCUACUGAGGGCUGCAGAAUCAUGCAGCCUUUAAAAUUUCAGAUUGGUGACCCUUCCUAGACCCAACUGGUGCUUCUUAUUGUAUCUACACAUGAGUUUCAGCCCCAAAGAUGCUCCUUCUCCCCAGGAGCCAAACCUUCAAUUCUGGUUGAAUACUUCUGCACCCUUUCACUCUUUGUUCCUCAACAUCCUUCUUACAUUGGAUCACAAGCUAUUGAACGGGAUUGUGUGUGUGUUUG